GCUGAGGGUAGCUGAGCCUGUUGCUGGGGCUCACUGACAGUCACGACCCUCACAGCUUCCUCUGCAGGAGAUGCUAAUUUUAAUGCAUGAAUUAUUCAAGCCUGCACCGGGAGACAGUUGGAUGUAAUUACUAAGGAACGUGUUCGUAUCUCCUGCUGCUGUAACUUCCACCCCCCUCCCUGGUCGCCUUCUGGGAAGCCUGAAUUCUUUCACUGCCAGUAAUUCCCGUGUUUUUCUCCUCAGUCUGGAGCCGUAUCACGGAAGCAGUUGGUAAUUACUCAGAGCCACGUUUGGCUUUGCAGCGUGGAAAUCUGCUGGAAAUCGGCUCGGUUCGUAAGCAAAUGGCCCAGGUGCAGAAAUGGUUCAGGUUAGCUGAGUGUCCUCUGGCGUGGUCUAAGAGCCUCAUUUGUCUCCCUGUGAAAUAUCAGUGCUGAUCCCAUGGACAGGGAGGAAGAGGCACUGGAAAGUGAUGGGCACGAUGGCAAUAAGGACUUCUGGUUGUAUAGAAGAAAAUGCAUUAGCUUCAGUACAGAGAAGACUACCGAAAGUAAUCUGAGCCUGAUGUAUCAAUUUCUUCCCCCAAAAUAAGCAGUGUCUACC
Long non-coding RNA from Pezoporus flaviventris, 600 nucleotides. RefSeq lists it as uncharacterized. The record is from RefSeq and is a predicted model, not a curated record. NCBI's taxonomy places the organism in Eukaryota, Metazoa, Chordata, Aves, Psittaciformes, Psittacidae. The transcript has 3 exons.